Tetranychus urticae (two-spotted spider mite) is the source of this 779-nucleotide non-coding RNA. The record is from RefSeq and is a predicted model, not a curated record. NCBI's taxonomy places the organism in Eukaryota, Metazoa, Arthropoda, Arachnida, Trombidiformes, Tetranychidae.
AAAUGAAAAAAGCCGGUUAGUAUGGCCUUAAGAUACGAUUUAAGACGUUAAAUCAAUGUCAUUGAUAUCUAAUAUCGGAUCCAUUGUCUUGACUAAACAAUCAUUUUAAUGCAAAAAGCGGUUUAAUUAAAGAGUUGGUCAACUGAAUCCACAAGAUGGAGCUAAGAAUUGUUUUCUUUUCAAAGCUUGAUUUCUUAAAUUUAAUCAUUUAUUGAAAUGUGUUUCUAAAUUUUCGUGAAUUCUAAGUUUCAAAAUUUAAUAUCAACCUAUUUCUAUCAUGCUUCAGUGAAUAAAUUUGUGAGAAAAGGAUUGCAAGUUGAACAAACAAAUGGUCAAUGGAAAUAAUUGGAAUAAAUUGGAGAGCAACUCAUCUAACAAACUACUUGUUCUCGUGUUAAAACGUUCAAUCAAUGUUAUGCUUCUUAUGUUAUCCUAAGCUCCAAGAAUAUACUAAUAAUCCAUUCAUCAUAAUCAUUGUAAUGCAAGGAGAAAAGUGGUUUUUUUCACUGGAAAAGAAGGAAAAAAGAUCAUCAAAAUCUGUUCCUUCACAAAGUAAACACAAUUUGGGUUGAUUCUAUCGGGAUACAGAUUAAUUUGUCAAUGGAUAUGGAGCAAGUCUACCAAUUUCAAGAUACAAUUGAAAGAAGACACCUAAUAAUUGGGAAAAAUGGAUAUAAUUGGAAUGCAUAUUUACCUCACUUUCAUUGGAAGGAAUGGUUGUUGCAGUAUCAUUGAAAUGAUGAUAAUUAACAGCGUUAUCGUGGUUAUUGUUAUUUAAA